GAGGGCAUGGCUCAGUGGUAGAAUAUGGGCUUAGCAUGCAUGAGGUCCUGGGUUCAAUCCCCCGUGCCUCCA
This 72-nucleotide transfer RNA is filed under the name Camelus ferus (Wild Bactrian camel). It matches the Rfam family "tRNA". From Rfam's summary of the family: Transfer RNA (tRNA) molecules are approximately 80 nucleotides in length. Their secondary structure includes four short double-helical elements and three loops (D, anti-codon, and T loops). The record is from Rfam by way of RNAcentral. Lineage: Eukaryota; Metazoa; Chordata; Mammalia; Artiodactyla; Camelidae.